This 440-nucleotide ribosomal RNA is filed under the name uncultured bacterium. Its description in RNAcentral is "partial 16S ribosomal RNA". It matches the Rfam family "Bacterial small subunit ribosomal RNA", at positions 338 to 795 of the family's 1533-position model. The record is from RNAcentral.
CCUACGGGAGGCUGCAGUGGGGAAUAUUGCACAAUGGGGGAAACCCUGAUGCAGCGACGCCGCGUGAGUGAAGAAGUAAUUCGUUAUGUAAAGCUCUAUCAGCAGGGAAGAAAAUGACGGUACCUGAGUCAGCAGCCACGGCUAAAUACGUCCCAGCAGCCGCGGUAAUACGUAGGGGGCAAGCGUUAUCCGGAUUUACUGGGGGUAAAGGGAGCGUAGACGGCAGUGCAAGUCUGGAGUGAAAGGCGGGGGCUCAACCCGCGGACUGCUCUGGAAACUGGACGGCUGGAGUGCAGGAGAGGUAAGUGGAAUUCCUGGUGUAGCGGUGAAAUGCGUAGAUAUUAGGAGGAACACCAGUGGCGAAGGCGGCUUACUGGACUGUAACUGACGUUGAGGCGCGAAAGCGUGGGGAGCAAACAGGAUUAGAUACCCCAGUAGUC